CCCCUACUUUUUUUUUUUUUUUUUUUUUUACAUAAAGUCAGUUUGGUUUUUUUUUUGCUUAAGAAAAUUUUUCCUCAAAAUAGGUAAAUUUUUUUGAAUGACGUCAUUGUUUGUAUGUGACGUCACGAACGUCGAAGUUUCAUAUUGUAUGUGACGUCACGAACGUCAAGUUUUCAUAUUUUUUGGCACACUAAAUGCAACUAUGAAAAAUACAAAACACACAAAUUAAUACAAUAAUAACAAAUAUUUUUAAAACAACAGCACGCAAAUUGUAAGGUAACCCAGGUGCUUCGGAUAAGUAAUUGAGCAGUUCUUUUAAGGCCUUUGAAACAAGACAAAAGUAGAACUGAAGGUAACCCAGUGCUAUGGAUCACAAAACAGUUCAUAUAAUAUAAUACUCUUCUGUUAAAAUAUAUGAUAAAGUGUAUAAUACAUGGCAAAUCCGUAUCACAUGCCGUAUCACCCUCGACCAAUAUCAUCCCUCGGGCCUAAAGGCCCUUGGGCUGAUAUUGAUGUCUCGGGAUGAUACGACAUAUGAUACGGAUUUUGCCAUGUAUUAUUCUCUUUAUA
RNAcentral lists this long non-coding RNA (570 nucleotides) under Mytilus galloprovincialis (Mediterranean mussel). Lineage: Eukaryota; Metazoa; Mollusca; Bivalvia; Mytilida; Mytilidae. The record is from RNAcentral.